RNAcentral lists this ribosomal RNA (460 nucleotides) under uncultured bacterium. RNAcentral's name for it is "partial 16S ribosomal RNA". It matches the Rfam family "Bacterial small subunit ribosomal RNA", at positions 338 to 795 of the family's 1533-position model. The record is from RNAcentral.
CCUACGGGUGGCAGCAGUGAGGAAUAUUGGUCAAUGGACGAGAGUCUGAACCAGCCAAGUAGCGUGAAGGAUGACUGCCCUAUGGGUUGUAAACUUCUUUUAUCUGGGAAUAAAAUGUUCCACGUGUGGGAUUUUGUAUGUACCCUAUGUAUAAGGAUCGGCUAACUCCGUGCCAGCAGCCGCGGUACGACGGAGGAUCCGAGCGUUAUCCGGAUUUAUUGGGUUUAAAGGGAGCGUAGGUGGAUUGUUAAGGCAGUUGUGAAAGUUUGCGGCUCAACCGUAAAAUUGCAGUUGACACUGGCAGUCUUGAGUACAGUAGAGGUGGGCGGAAUUCGGGGUGUAGCGGUGAAAUGCUUAGAUAUCACGAAGAACUCCGAUUGCGAAGGCAGUUCACUGGACUGCAACUGACACUGAGGCUCGAAAGUGUGGGUAUCAAACAGGAUUAGAUACCCGAGUAGUC